AAGAAAAAAACAAAACACGUGACCAUGAGACUUCCCCCAUUCCACCGCAUGUGACCGCUGGUCUUCCCCAGCUGGCGGAAGGUGCAUGCAUCUAGGGAAUCAUCAACACUUUUAUGAUUAUUAAUUAACCUACAACUAUCUAUGAUUCAAACUUUCCCAGGUAUUCUAUCAUUAAUAUAAUAAAAAUGUAUUUAACAGUCAUUAUCAGCAUAAAAAAAGAAACAACUCUCUUCU
RNAcentral lists this long non-coding RNA (234 nucleotides) under Lathyrus oleraceus (garden pea). Its description in RNAcentral is "Pisum sativum (pea) long non-coding RNA (PSAT_LNC017970)". The record is from RNAcentral. Lineage: Eukaryota; Viridiplantae; Streptophyta; Magnoliopsida; Fabales; Fabaceae.